AUUUGAAGAGGAGUGGGUGGUCAAGUAGGCGAAUGAGAUGUGAGAUUGCGCACUGUUGAUGCGCGUGGCUCGCACCACUCCAGACUUGUUUCGCAGAGCGAGCGUGGUUGCCUAACGAGGCGCAUCUCUUUCUUUAUAAUUCCGCUCGGCCACUAUAUAUACAAAUUCCCGCCGUCCUUCAAAAACACCAAAAAAAAAGGAAAUAAAAAACAAACCAUAAAAAAGGAAUUACAAAAUUUUUCCCCUUCUCUCUCUCUCUCAAUUUUAAAAAAAAAAAUAUUCUCAUUAUAUUCCCUCUUAAUUAAAAUUAUUUCUUCCAAACAAAAUUUUCAUCCCCUUCUCUUUAUAUUUACCAUUUGUGAUUAAGUGACAAGUUUUAGGAAAAAAAACUGUGACAAACGUUAAUUGUAAAAUAAAAUAAUUAUUGUGAAUUUAAAAAAAUUGUUUGAUCGAAGAAAAAUUAUUGACAUUGCUAGUGACCUUGUAGUUGAAAUUGAGUUUAGAAAAAAGAAGAGAGAAAAAAAAAGGUUGUGACCGCAAACCAGGUGUAGAUCCAAUUACUUUGUAGACCUCGAGGAACCUUGGUCGUUUGUUAAGUCUAUUGUUGACAUUGUUCCAAAAAGGGGCACGUGAAUUCCAAACUGGGUGUGCGAUAGGUGUUUUCAUUAAGGGUGAGAGAAUGUUAUAACAUUUUGUUUUCAAGAAAGUAGAAAGUUUUGCUGCUAAAUUUCGCGAGUGUCGUGAAUUUUUAUUUGUUUCCGUUUUUUUUCAAUAUUGGUGAAAUUCGUGAGUUAUUGUGUCUUUUUUUUUGAUAAAAUUUUGAGAACAAUAAUUUUUGAGUGAUUAAAAGUUUUUUAUUUAGUGCUGUUAAAUGUAUAUACAGUGACAUUGGAUUUUGAGGUUUGAAACUGCCAUCAAAACAAGAGCGCAUUGUCAACUGUUUUGAAGAAUUAUCGGUGUUGGGAAAUUGCUCCAAUAUCGAAAUACCCUUAAGGAAUUUCUUAUGCCGCUGCUCUCUUGGCCACCCUUUGUUAUUG
Leptopilina heterotoma is the source of this 1037-nucleotide long non-coding RNA. RefSeq lists it as uncharacterized. The transcript has 3 exons. NCBI's taxonomy places the organism in Eukaryota, Metazoa, Arthropoda, Insecta, Hymenoptera, Figitidae. The record is from RefSeq and is a predicted model, not a curated record.